AGUGAACGCUGGCGGUAGGCCUAACACAUGCAAGUCGAACGGCAGCACAGUAAGAGCUUGCUCUUACGGGUGGCGAGUGGCGGACGGGUGAGGAAUACAUCGGAAUCUACUUUUUCGUGGGGGAUAAGGUAGGGAAACUUACGCUAAUACCGCAUACGACCUACGGGUGAAAGCAGGGGAUAUUCGGACCUUGCGCGAUUGAAUGAGCCGAUGUCGGAUUAGCUAGUUGGCGGGGUAAAGGCCCACCAAGGCGACGAUCCGUAGCUGGUCUGAGAGGAUGAUCAGCCACACUGGAACUGGGACACGGUCCAGACUCCUACGGGAGGCAGCAGUGGGGAAUAGUGGACAAUGGGCGCAAGCCUGAUCCAGCCAUACCGCGUGGGUGAAGAAGGCCUUCGGGUUGUAAAGCCCUUUUGUUGGGAAAGAAAAGCAGCAGGUUAAUACCCCGCUGUUCUGACGGUACCCAAAGAAUAAGCACCGGCUAACUUCGUG
Molecule: ribosomal RNA, 492 nt
Filed under: uncultured bacterium
Lineage: Bacteria
Description: partial 16S ribosomal RNA
Rfam family: Bacterial small subunit ribosomal RNA
Source: RNAcentral